Long non-coding RNA from Papilio polytes (common Mormon), 157 nucleotides. RefSeq lists it as uncharacterized. The transcript has 3 exons. Lineage: Eukaryota; Metazoa; Arthropoda; Insecta; Lepidoptera; Papilionidae. The record is from RefSeq and is a predicted model, not a curated record.
AUCAAAGAGCUGCAGAAUGAGAUUAACAAGCAACAAACUAUUAUAUCACAGGCUAGCCAGGCGUUGAAUCUGUGCGCGUCUACAAUAGAAUUCAGCGGCUCCACGGAACAGGCGGAAGGGGAAAGACUACUAUUGUUAGCUACGCACCGGCGGCAGG